UGGGGAAUUUUGGACAAUGGGGGAAACCCUGAUCCAGCCAUCCCGCGUGUGCGAUGAAGGCCUUCGGGUUGUAAAGCACUUUUGGCAGGAAAGAAACGUCAUGGGUUAAUACCCCGUGAAACUGACGGUACCUGCAGAAUAAGCACCGGCUAACUACGUGCCAGCAGCCGCGGUAAUACGUAGGGUGCAAGCGUUAAUCGGAAUUACUGGGCGUAAAGCGUGCGCAGGCGGUUCGGAAAGAAAGAUGUGAAAUCCCAGAGCUCAACUUUGGAACUGCAUUUUUAACUAACGGGCUAGAGUGUGUCAGAGGGAGGUGGAAUUCCGCGUGUAGCAGUGAAAUGCGUAGAUAUGCGGAGGAACACCGAUGGCGAAGGCAGCCUCCUGGGAUAACACUGACGCUCAUGCACGAGAGCGUGGGGAGCAAACAGG
Molecule: ribosomal RNA, 429 nt
Filed under: Acidobacteriota bacterium
Lineage: Bacteria; Pseudomonadati; Acidobacteriota
Description: Acidobacteria bacterium partial 16S ribosomal RNA
Rfam family: Bacterial small subunit ribosomal RNA
Source: RNAcentral